GAUGAACGCUGGCGGCGUGCCUAACACAUGCAAGUCGAGCGGCAGCGAGGGGUGCUUGCACCCUGUCGGCGAGCGGCGGACGGCUGAGUAACGCGUGGGAACGUGCCCCAAAGUGAGGAAUAACUGCCCGAAAGGGUAGCUAAUACCGCAUAUUAUCUUCGGAUCAAAGGAUUUAUCCGCUUUGGGAGCGGCUCGCGUCGGAUUAGGUAGUUGGUGAGGUAAUGGCUCACCAAGCCGACGAUCCGUAGCUGGUCUGAGAAGAUGACCAGCCAGACUGGAACUGAGACACGGUCCAGACUCCUACGGGAGGCAGCAGUGAGGAAUCUUCCACAAUGGGCGAAAGCCUGAUGGAGCAACGCCGCGUGCAGGACGAAGGCCUUCGGGUUGUAAACUGCUUUUAUAAGUGAGGAAUAUGACGGUAACUUAUGAAUAAGGAUCGGCUAACUACGUG
This 451-nucleotide ribosomal RNA is filed under the name uncultured bacterium. RNAcentral describes it as "partial 16S ribosomal RNA". It matches the Rfam family "Bacterial small subunit ribosomal RNA", at positions 28 to 507 of the family's 1533-position model. The record is from RNAcentral.